GAUUGGUGACUAGUACUCCUUCUGAGUCCAACUUUAAUUGUCCGUCUUGUUUGAUUUUUUUUAUGAUUAGCAUUUAUGUUAUUAGAUGAUAAUUGAUAAAACAUGAAUAAUAUUUUAUACAUGUCUUAUAUUUUUUUAUUUUUUUUAAAAAAAUAAAUAAUACGGAUGAUCAAAGAUAGGCAUAGAAAUUUAUAACCCCGCUUACA
This 206-nucleotide microRNA precursor is filed under the name Oryza sativa Japonica Group (Japanese rice). RNAcentral's name for it is "MIR812 microRNA precursor family". It matches the Rfam family "MIR812 microRNA precursor family". The record is from Rfam by way of RNAcentral. Lineage: Eukaryota; Viridiplantae; Streptophyta; Magnoliopsida; Poales; Poaceae.